Hyla sarda is the source of this 1010-nucleotide long non-coding RNA. RefSeq lists it as uncharacterized. The transcript has 3 exons. The record is from RefSeq and is a predicted model, not a curated record. Lineage: Eukaryota; Metazoa; Chordata; Amphibia; Anura; Hylidae.
GCGCAACAACUGUCACCCAUAAAUAAUUUGACUCAUGGUGUCUAUACCAUUUUGUGCGUCCUACUGCAAUUGAUGUUUUUUACUGCACCUAUGAAAAUAAAGAACAACACCUGUUUUGUACCUGAAUCCGGUGCCAAAUGACCAGAAGGUUCCCUGAAGUCCUUUGAAGUUUGGGGAAGGAGUAAUAGUAUGUAGAGUACAUUAUAUGCUCUCUCUAUCUUCUUGCACUAUAUUGACAUCUGCUGUCAACAUCAUUCCAUUCUGCUGCUGUCCAUUAUAGAUGGAAGGGUUACUCUGCUAUCUGUGCCAACACUCUUGUUUUCUAUGGGGACCCUUGACAGAUGUUAAAACUGCAGGACUUUCUCUUUACAUCCCCGCACCCUUACAUCAAGAAGCCAUCAUGCCAUGUGGAGGCCAAAGAGUAUAUCUGCUGGUAAUCAAGAAACCCGAAGGUUAAUUCUACAACUUGUCAACUCGUGUACUUUGUAACUUAUCUGUCCCUUUGCAAACUCUGCUACCCUGUAUAGUAUAACUUUUACUUGGCCGAUUGAGGAACAUUAUCCAGGAUCCAUAACGUCAUCCUCCCUGCUAAUAUAUUUGAUGUGAUCGAGAUGUCAAAAAUUUACCCCAUUGCGGUUAGUGACCACGCCCCUCUCUCUCUCUUACCUUACACCUUCUAACCUCUGAUGACAACACUAAAUGUUCGACAUUUCCUUCCUCCCGCCACCAGUUUCAGGAUUUUACUAGCUAUCACAAACUUCUCUGAAGCAGCUUGGCUUCCAGCGCUGAACAAUGCCUGAGACUUUUUGGCCCAUGGACCUUAUUAGCAGUUCCCUCAGGGAUUAUCCACACUAUGAAUAUGGGCAGUUUUUGCUGUUAAUAUUUGAUUUUCCUUAUAUUUGAUUACUUAUUGUUAUUUAUUUAUUUUUUGGCAUAUGUUGUUCUACUUAAAAAGCAGAUGUGACACUUUUGACUGUUUUGCUCUUUUCUAUUAUCAUGUGCACUAACAU